This 70-nucleotide transfer RNA is filed under the name Schmidingerella taraikaensis. It matches the Rfam family "tRNA". From Rfam's summary of the family: Transfer RNA (tRNA) molecules are approximately 80 nucleotides in length. Their secondary structure includes four short double-helical elements and three loops (D, anti-codon, and T loops). Further hydrogen bonds mediate the characteristic L-shaped molecular structure. tRNAs have two regions of fundamental functional importance: the anti-codon, which is responsible for specific mRNA codon recognition, and the 3' end, to which the tRNAs corresponding amino acid is attached (by aminoacyl-tRNA synthetases). tRNAs cope with the degeneracy of the genetic code in two manners: having more than one tRNA (with a specific anti-codon) for a particular amino acid; and 'wobble' base-pairing, i.e. permitting non-standard base-pairing at the 3rd anti-codon position. Lineage: Eukaryota; Ciliophora; Spirotrichea; Tintinnida; Rhabdonellidae. The record is from RNAcentral.
GGGGUGUGGUGUAGUGGUAUCACAUGCGCUUCGCAUGCGCAAGGCCCCGGGUUCGAACCCCGGCACCUCC